AUGCCUAAUACAUGCAAGUCGAACGGUAACAGGUCGCUGUGAUCCCUUCGGGGUGAACUUGAUGCUGACGAGUGGCGGACGGGUGAGUAAUACUUAGGAAUCUGCCCAGUAGUGGGGGACAACCAGGAGAAAUUCUGGCUAAUACCGCAUACGCACUACGGUGGAAAGUGGGGGAUCUUCGGACCUCACGCUAUUGGAUGAGCCUAAGUCGGAUUAGCUUGUUGGUGAGGUAAUAGCUCACCAAGGCGACGAUCCGUAGCUGGUCUGAGAGGACGAUCAGCCACACUGGGACUGAGACACGGCCCAGACUCCUACGGGAGGCAGCAGUGGGGAAUAUUGGACAAUGGGCGCAAGCCUGAUCCAGCAAUGCCGCGUGUGUGAAGAAGGCCUGCGGGUUGUAAAGCACUUUCAGUAGAGAAGAAAAGCCUAGGGUUAAUACCCCUGAGUCUUGACGUAACCUACAGAAGAAGCACCGGCUAACUCCGUG
RNAcentral lists this ribosomal RNA (487 nucleotides) under uncultured bacterium. RNAcentral describes it as "bacterial SSU rRNA". It matches the Rfam family "Bacterial small subunit ribosomal RNA", at positions 44 to 507 of the family's 1533-position model. The record is from RNAcentral.